CUACGGGCUGCUGCAGUCGAGAAUAGUCUACAAUGGACGAAAGUCUGAUAGUGCGACGCCGCGUGGAUGAAGAAGCAUUUCGGUGUGUAAAGUCCUUUUCUGUGUGAGCAAUGUUUUCCAGGUUAAUAGCUUGGAGAAAGCGAUAUUAACACAGGAAUAAGCUCCGGCUAACUCCGUGCCAGCAGCCGCGGUAACACGGGGGGAGCAAGCGUUGUCCGGAAUUACUAGGCGUAAAGGGUAAGUAGGCGGAAUUGUAAGUCAGAUGUUAAAGGCACCGGCUCAACCGGUGUAUGGCAUUUGAUACUGUAAUUCUAGAGUAAGGUGGGGGAAGACGGAAUUCCUGGUGUAGCGGUGGAAUGCGCAGAUAUCAGGAGGAACACCAGAGGCGCAGGCGGUCUUCUAUACCAUUACUGACGCUCAAUUACGAAGGUGUGGGUAUCAAACAGGAUUAGAUACCCCUGUAGUC
RNAcentral lists this ribosomal RNA (466 nucleotides) under uncultured bacterium. Its description in RNAcentral is "partial 16S ribosomal RNA". It matches the Rfam family "Bacterial small subunit ribosomal RNA", at positions 339 to 795 of the family's 1533-position model. The record is from RNAcentral.